UAAUGUCGAUAAUAUAGAUAUAUAUAAAAUAUGUUCGAUAAUGUUAAGAAUGAUUGGUCAGUUAGUGAUAGGGGGUUCUUGUGAGCGUGAGGUUAAGGAUUUAAAUCCCCUUAGCCUCCAAUUAUCUUCAAAAAGGUAAAAAAUAAAAAUAAAAAAACAAACAAAGGUGCAUUUAAGUAUAGGAGAUUCCCAAGAGUGCAAAGUGUGUUAGGCUAGGCUGGGCUAGUUGGUGCGAGAAUGUAGGCUGGAGACUUAGCCCAUUGUAAGAUUUUUGAAAAAAAGAAAAAAAA
Molecule: long non-coding RNA, 290 nt
Filed under: Vitis vinifera (wine grape)
Lineage: Eukaryota; Viridiplantae; Streptophyta; Magnoliopsida; Vitales; Vitaceae
Description: long non-coding RNA (VVIN_LNC001681)
Source: RNAcentral